UACGUAGGGUGCGAGCGUUGUCCGGAAUUAUUGGGCGUAAAGAGCUUGUAGGCGGUCUGUCGCGUCUGCUGUGAAAAUCCGGGGCUCAACCCCGGACUUGCAGUGGGUACGGGCAGACUAGAGUGUGGUAGGGGAGAGUGGAAUUCCUGGUGUAGCGGUGAAAUGCGUAGAUAUCAGGAGGAAUACCGGUGGCGAAAGCGACUCUCUGGACGGCAACUGACGCUGAGGCACGAAAGCGUGGGGAGCAAACAGG
RNAcentral lists this ribosomal RNA (253 nucleotides) under uncultured bacterium. RNAcentral describes it as "partial 16S ribosomal RNA". It matches the Rfam family "Bacterial small subunit ribosomal RNA", at positions 524 to 776 of the family's 1533-position model. The record is from RNAcentral.